This 27-nucleotide non-coding RNA is filed under the name Bombyx mori (domestic silkworm). The record is from RNAcentral. Lineage: Eukaryota; Metazoa; Arthropoda; Insecta; Lepidoptera; Bombycidae.
UGACGGUUUCGUUGACUCGACAAGCGG